Molecule: ribosomal RNA, 429 nt
Filed under: Chloroflexota bacterium
Lineage: Bacteria; Bacillati; Chloroflexota
Description: Chloroflexi bacterium partial 16S ribosomal RNA
Rfam family: Bacterial small subunit ribosomal RNA
Source: RNAcentral
UGGGGAAUAUUGCACAAUGGGCGCAAGCCUGAUGCAGCCAUGCCGCGUGUAUGAAGAAGGCCUUCGGGUUGUAAAGUACUUUCAGUCGGGAGGAAGGUGUCAAGGUUAAUAACCUUGGCAAUUGACGUUACCGACAGAAGAAGCACCGGCUAACUCCGUGCCAGCAGCCGCGGUAAUACGGAGGGUGCAAGCGUUAAUCGGAAUUACUGGGCGUAAAGCGCACGCAGGCGGUUGAUUGAGUCAGAUGUGAAAUCCCCGGGCUUAACCCGGGAAUUGCAUCUGAUACUGGUCAGCUAGAGUCUUGUAGAGGGGGGUAGAAUUCCAUGUGUAGCGGUGAAAUGCGUAGAGAUGUGGAGGACUACCGGUGGCGAAGGCGGCCCCCUGGACAAAGACUGACGCUCAGGUGCGAAAGCGUGGGGAGCAAACAGG